CUUAGAGUUUGAUCCUGGCUCAGAUUGAACGCUGGCGGUAUGCUUAAGACAUGCAAGUCGAACGGAAGCCCUCGGGCUUCAGUGGCGGNNGGGUGAGUAACACAUCGGAACGUACCGGCUAGUGGGGGAUAACCCGUCGAAAGACGGGCUAAUACCGCAUACGCCCUACGGGGGAAAGCAGCAAUGCGCUAUUGAAUGAGCCCGCGUAAGAUUAGCUGGUUGGUGGGGUAAAGGCCCACCAAGGCGACGAUCUUUAGCUGGUCUGAGAGGAUGGCCAGCCACAUCGGGACUGAGACACGGCCCGGACUCCUACGGGAGGCAGCAGUCGGGAAUAUUGGACAAUGGGCGCAAGCCUGAUCCAGCAAUACCGCGUGUGUGAAGAAGGCCUGCGGGUUGUAAAGCACUUUCAGUGGGGAAGAUAAUGACGUUACCCACAGAAGAAGCACCGGCUAACUCCGUGCCAGCAGCCGCGGUAAUACGGAGGGUGCAAGCGUUAAUCGGAAUUACUGGGCGUAAAGCGCACGUAGGCGGCCUUUUAAGUCAGAUGUGAAAUCCCCGGGCUUAACCUGGGAACUGCACCUGAUACUGGGAGGCUAGAAU
RNAcentral lists this ribosomal RNA (600 nucleotides) under uncultured bacterium. RNAcentral's name for it is "bacterial SSU rRNA". It matches the Rfam family "Bacterial small subunit ribosomal RNA", at positions 1 to 647 of the family's 1533-position model. The record is from RNAcentral.